CCUGCAGUGGGUACGGGCAGACUAGAGUGCGGUAGGGGAGAUUGGAAUUCCNNNGUGUAGCGGUGGAAUGCGCAGAUAUCAGGAGGAACACCGAUGGCGAAGGCAGAUCUCUGGNNNNNNNACUGACGCUGAGGAGCGAAAGGGUGGGGAGCAAACAGGCUUAGAUACCCUGGUAGUCCACCCCGUAAACGUUGGGAACUAGUUGUGGGGUCCAUUCCACGGAUUCCGUGACGCAGCUAACGCAUUAAGUUCCCCGCCUGGGGAGUACGGCCGCAAGGCUAAAACUCAAAGGAAUUGACGGGGACCCGCACAAGCGGCGGAGCAUGCGGAUUAAUUCGAUGCAACGCGAAGAACCUUACCAAGGCUUGACAUAUACGAGAACGGGCCAGAAAUGGUCAACUCUUUGGACACUCGUAAACAGGUGGUGCAUGGUUGUCGUCAGCUCGUGUCGUGAGAUGUUGGGUUAAGUCCCGCAACGAGCGCAACCCUCGUUCUAUGUUGCCAGCACGUAAUGGUGGGAACUCAUGGGAUACUGCCGGGGUCAACUCGGAGGAAG
This 556-nucleotide ribosomal RNA is filed under the name uncultured bacterium. RNAcentral describes it as "bacterial SSU rRNA". It matches the Rfam family "Bacterial small subunit ribosomal RNA", at positions 620 to 1172 of the family's 1533-position model. The record is from RNAcentral.